GCCACGGUAGUCUAGCGGUUAGAACGCUGGCCUUGUAAUCCUGGGGUCUCGGGUUCGAUUCCCGGCGGUGCCC
This is a non-coding RNA of Zootermopsis nevadensis, 73 nucleotides long. NCBI's taxonomy places the organism in Eukaryota, Metazoa, Arthropoda, Insecta, Blattodea, Termopsidae. The record is from Rfam.